GCCAAAAUACUCAGUUGGGGAGGUUAGACGAAGAUCUAAAGGUCCCUGGUUCAAUCCCGGGUUUCGGCA
RNAcentral lists this transfer RNA (69 nucleotides) under Trichonephila inaurata madagascariensis. Its description in RNAcentral is "tRNA-Phe". It matches the Rfam family "tRNA". From Rfam's summary of the family: Transfer RNA (tRNA) molecules are approximately 80 nucleotides in length. Their secondary structure includes four short double-helical elements and three loops (D, anti-codon, and T loops). Further hydrogen bonds mediate the characteristic L-shaped molecular structure. tRNAs have two regions of fundamental functional importance: the anti-codon, which is responsible for specific mRNA codon recognition, and the 3' end, to which the tRNAs corresponding amino acid is attached (by aminoacyl-tRNA synthetases). tRNAs cope with the degeneracy of the genetic code in two manners: having more than one tRNA (with a specific anti-codon) for a particular amino acid; and 'wobble' base-pairing, i.e. permitting non-standard base-pairing at the 3rd anti-codon position. Lineage: Eukaryota; Metazoa; Arthropoda; Arachnida; Araneae; Nephilidae. The record is from RNAcentral.